This 1513-nucleotide ribosomal RNA is filed under the name Scincella modesta (modest ground skink). RNAcentral's name for it is "16S ribosomal RNA". It matches the Rfam family "Bacterial large subunit ribosomal RNA". The record is from RNAcentral. Lineage: Eukaryota; Metazoa; Chordata; Lepidosauria; Squamata; Scincidae.
GCAAUAAAACUAGCCCAACCACCUAAUCAAGUAGACUAAAGAGAUUAAACCAAACCAUUUGCCUAAACUAGUAUAUGUGAUAGAAAGUUUCUUCUGGAGCAAUAGAAGCAGUACCGUAAGGAAACAUUGAAAGAACAAUGAAACACUCAUGCAAUAAAAAGCAAAGACUAGCACUUGUACCUUUUGCAUCAUGGUUUAGCCAGACAUUACAGACAAAAUGAAAUUAGCCUGUACCCCGAAACUAAGUGAGCUACUAUAGGGCAACUAAAAGAGUGAACCCGUCUCUGUAGCAAAAGAGUGGGAUGACCCAACAGUAGCGGUGAAAAGCCUAACGAACUUAGUCAUAGCUGGUUACUCAAAAAAUGAAUUUUAGUUCAACUUUAGGUCACACAAAGCGAAAUACUAGCACACCUAAAAGAUACUCAAUGAGGGUACAGCCCCAUUGAGACAGGAAACAACCAUAAUUAGAGAGAUAGUAAACGCAUCUAACCAGUAAGCUUUAAAACAGCUAUCAGAAAACAAAGCGUCAAAGCACAAUAUAAGAAAAAUACCAAUAUACCCUACAAACUCCUAAUAUACAUUGAGUUACACUAUAACAAUAGAUGAACUAAUGCUAAAACUAGUAACAAGAAUAAUUCUCUACGACACACCCCUGACCCAGUAAUAGAAAACCUACUGACAAUUAACAGACCAAAACAGGCAAAACACCUACUGUUUAUUACACUGUCAAACCAACACAGGAGCGUCCAGAAGAAAGAUAAAAAGUUGUAGAAGGAACUCAGCAACACUUAUCCCAACUGUUUACCAAAAACAUAGCCUUUAGCAACAUUAGUAUUAAAGGUCCUGCCUGCCCAGUGAAACUUAAUUUUAACGGCCGCGGUAUUCUAACCGUGCAAAGGUAGCGUAAUCACUUGUCUUCCAAAUAAAGACCAGUAUGAAUGGCUAAAUGAGGAUAAACCUGUCUCCUACACCCCAUCAGUGAAACUGAUCUCCCAGUCCAAAAGCUGGGAUAUUAACACAAGACGAGAAGACCCUGUGGAGCUUAAAACUUACUAUUAAUAGACUCAUCAAGAGUAACUACUACUAGGUUUUGAGUUGAGGGCGACUUCGGAACAAAACAAAACUUCCGAGCACAGGACCACCAUUCCAACCAAGGCUAACAAGCCGAAACAUAUUUGACCCAGUCACACUGAUCAACGAACCAAGUUACCCCAGGGAUAACAGCGCCAUCUUCUUCAAGAGUCCAUAUCGACAAGAAGGUUUACGACCUCGAUGUUGGAUCAGGACACCCUAAUGGUGUAGCCGCUAUUAAAGGUUCGUUUGUUCAACGAUUAAUAGUCCUACGUGAUCUGAGUUCAGACCGGAGCAAUCCAGGUCGGUUUCUAUCUAUGAUGCUGCCUUCUUCAGUACGAAAGGAAAAAGAAGGACGGGCCCAUGCUAAAAGCACGCCCGAACAAUAUGACUGAAGAAAACUAAAGUCAUACAGCAGCGGAUAAAGCCGAGAUAUCGACUU